CAGCUAAACGCCAUUUUAAAAAUUACGCUCACCUCCAUAGUUUCUACAUUGAUAAAGCGUUCAGCUACUUCGCCACCACGAGCUACGAUCCGCCGCGCCAUCUGCAAGGCCGUCUGUGUAAUCGCGUUUAUGCGUUUAUUGUCUACGUCGUGGGUGGUCACGUUGGUCGCGCGAAGCAGAAAAUGGAAGUGAAUGACAUGUCUGUGGCUACUGUGUCACGUAUUCAAGAGACCUACAUACGCCUGGUGUAGUUUUGGUGUUCGGGGAUGCAAAAAUCAUCUUCGUUCAUCUUCGACGACGGGCGUUAUCUAACACAAGAUUCCUUAGGAGAGUGCGCGAAAACGAAUGCGGUUCGAAGCACUGCUGAGCUCAUUUUGUUGCCGAUGACUACGAAGAUGCCGUAGAAGGCGAAUUGCGAAGACGUCCGAAGCAAACCGCCAUUCAGUAACCAGUGAUUUUGCUUCACCGAGGUGACGUGUUCAACACAACGUCUCAGGGUCUUCCAGUGUUGAAGUGGCUCCAGACUGAUUCGUGUGUGUGUGUCCCAGGCACUCAAUUUGACCUGACAGCAAUAGCUGAAAGCAGGUAUGCAAAGUUCACAGAUGGAAGCAUUAGAGUUUUUAAGUGUUGCAGACUUUGUGACAUUUUUUGGAGUCUUUGGACAGCUGCAGAACAUUAGUAUGACGUCAAACACUAGGAGAAGAAACCGAUGAGAACUACUACUUCUUUGAAGAGUAGCGGAAUACUUCAUGUUGAGGUAUAGUUAUGACUAAGGAACGCUUUUCUAGAGAUGCAUCCUCUACACUUGAAUGCCCAGUGAAACAGCGAAAGUUCAUUGUCUUUGAAGCCCCACUACUGGAAUUGUUCAAAGUGUGUCGCAGCUACAGUGAGCCAUGCAAGGUUACCACAUCAUAUUGGUCCUAAAUUUGCAGAGUUCCCCUAUCUCGGACACAGCGGUCGUUUCUCUUUAUUGCUCUCCCGAUCGUACCAUCUCAGAGAUUAAUGUGUUCUAUAUGCGUUGCAUGGGCACUGCCUUUUUCUACUCAUGGUGUCAGUUUCUUGUUCUGUUGAAUAGAUCUUCAAUUGACAGUUUGCAGUCAUCACGCUGUCUACUGUGUUUGCCCCUCAUCUAUAUUGAUGUGCUAUAACGGUAUAGCACAUCAACAUGCCAACAACCUACCAACAACAACCAAACAACCUUGCCUUGCCUUAUCAAGAUGCCAAAUCUUUUUGUUGCCGCAGAUCAUAACUUCAAAGAGUUUUCCUCUGCACCCUGCCACGAGUGAAAAGUGUAGGGUAGUCCAACUUUUGGAUGGAAACUACACAAUGUGGUAACAUCCACAUAUCUGAAAUUUUAGUCGACGGAAAUUUGCUGUUUUUGUAGAACCUUCACUGUACAUUUCUUUUGUCUCACUUAGCACACGUGAAGAAAAGUUCUCAGCUUCAUCAAGACGACAGGUCAUUGUUGGAUCUAUCUGCAGCAUUAUUGUUCCUGUACUCUUUUCAUCAACAGAGAAUACAAAAGUGCACAAAUGGUUUUACAACUCUAUCAAGUACUUCAAAACAUCAGAGGGCAGAAAGUCCUACUCUGUCUCCUUAA
Molecule: long non-coding RNA, 1600 nt
Organism: Ornithodoros turicata
Lineage: Eukaryota; Metazoa; Arthropoda; Arachnida; Ixodida; Argasidae
Exons: 3
Source: RefSeq, a predicted model, not a curated record